This 450-nucleotide ribosomal RNA is filed under the name uncultured bacterium. Its description in RNAcentral is "partial 16S ribosomal RNA". It matches the Rfam family "Bacterial small subunit ribosomal RNA", at positions 354 to 796 of the family's 1533-position model. The record is from RNAcentral.
GUGGGGAAUCUUCCGCAAUGGACGAAAGUCUGACGGAGCAACGCCGCGUGAGUGAUGAAGGUCUUCGGAUUGUAAAACUCUGUUGUCAGGGACGAAUGUGCGAAUGUUGAAUAAGCGUUUGUAUUGACGGUACCUGACGAGGAAGCCACGGCUAACUACGUGCCAGCAGCCGCGGUAAUACGUAGGUGGCAAGCGUUGUCCGGAAUUAUUGGGCGUAAAGAGCAUGUAGGCGGGCUUUUAAGUCCGACGUGAAAAUGCGGGGCUUAACCCCGUAUGGCGUUGGAUACUGGAAGUCUUGAGUGCAGGAGAGGAAAGGGGAAUUCCCAGUGUAGCGGUGAAAUGCGUAGAUAUUGGGAGGAACACCAGUGGCGAAGGCGCCUUUCUGGACGGUGUCUGACACUGAGGCGCGAAAGCCAGGGGAGCGAACGGGAUUAGAUACCCCGGUAGUCC